CCCGCACAAGCGGUGGAGUAUGUGGUUUAAUUCGAUGCAACGCGAAGAACCUUUACCUGGUCUUGACAUCCCAGAAAUCCCUUGGAAACUUGGGAGUGCUUCCAUUAGGAAGAAUCUGGAGACAGGUGCUGCAUGGCUGUCGUCAGCUCGUGUCGUGAGAUGUUGGGUUAAGUCCCGCAACGAGCGCAACCCUUGCCUUUAGUUGCCAGCAGUUCGGCUGGGCACUCUAAAGGGACUGCCGGUGUUAAACCGGAGGAAGGUGGGAUGACGUCAAGUCCUCAUGGCCUUUAUGACCAGGGCUACACACGUACUACAAUGGCCGAUACAAAGGGCAGCGACAUUGCGAAAUGAAGCCAAUCCCAUAAAUUCGGUCUCAGUCCGGAUUGGAGUCUGCAACUCGACUCCAUGAAGUUGGAAUCGCUAGUAAUCGUGGAUCAGCAUGCCACGGUGAAUACGUUCCCGGGCCUU
Molecule: ribosomal RNA, 468 nt
Filed under: uncultured Desulfobulbus sp.
Lineage: Bacteria; Pseudomonadati; Thermodesulfobacteriota; Desulfobulbia; Desulfobulbales; Desulfobulbaceae
Description: bacterial SSU rRNA
Rfam family: Bacterial small subunit ribosomal RNA
Source: RNAcentral